AUCAAUAAGCGGAGGAAAAGAAACUAACAAGGAUUCCCCUAGUAACUGCGAGUGAAGCGGGAAAAGCUCAAAUUUGAAAUCUGGCGGUUCUUUAACUGUCCGAGUUGUAAUCUAGAGAAGUGUUACCUGUGCUGGACCGUGUACAAGUCUCCUGGAAUGGAGCAUCAUAGAGGGUGAGAAUCCCGUCUUUGACAUGGACUACCAGUACAUUAUGGUGUGCUCUCAAAGAGUCGAGUUGUUUGGGAAUGCAGCUCAAAAUGGGUGGUAAAUGCCAUCUAAAGCUAAAUAUUGGCGAGAGACCGAUAGCGAACAAGUACCGUGAGGGAAAGAUGAAAAGAACUUUGGAAAGAGAGUUAAACAGUACGUGAAAUUGCUGAAAGGGAAACGCUUGAAGUCAGUCACGUUGGCUAGAAAUCAGCCUUGCUUUUGCUUGGUGUACUUUCUGGUUGACGGGUCAGCAUCAAUUUUGACCAUUGGAUAAAGUCUUUGGGAAUGUGGCAUCCUUGGAUGUGUUAUAGCCCAUUGUCGCAUACUGUGGUUGGGAUUGAGGAACUCAGCACGCCAACAAGGCCGGGUUUCGACCACGUUCGUGCUUAGGAUGCUGGCAUAAUGGCUUUAAUCGACCCGUCUUGAAACACGGACCAAGGAGUCUAACAUGCCUGCGAGUGUUUGGGUGGAAAACUCAUGCGCGCAAUGAAAGUGAAAGGUUGAGAUCCCUGAAAGGGGAGCAUUGACGCCCGGACCAGACCUUUUGUGAAGGAUCCGCGGUAGAGCAUGUAUGUUGGGACCCGAAAGAUGGUGAACUAUGCCUGAAUAGGGUGAAGCCAGAGGAAACUCUGGUGGAGGCUCGUAGCGAUUCUGACGUGCAAAUCGAUCGUCAAAUUUGGGUAUAGGGGCGAAAGACUAAUCGAACCA
Molecule: ribosomal RNA, 915 nt
Filed under: Inocybe sp.
Lineage: Eukaryota; Fungi; Basidiomycota; Agaricomycetes; Agaricales; Inocybaceae
Description: partial large subunit ribosomal RNA
Rfam family: Eukaryotic large subunit ribosomal RNA
Source: RNAcentral